AUGCAAACUUGUGAUCCAAAAGUGUCUAAGCCUGUCCAGUUUGUAAGGAACAAACAUCAUUCUUUGUAUCUACAUCAGCUACUGUUGAUCUUGGCCUUUGAGCCACCUCAACAUCUUAUAUGUGAUUUAUUUGUACCAUUCCUAAACCUACCUGUGAAAGCUAUUUGCAUGAUCAUCAAAUAUAUCGAAUUGUCUGUACAUGAUCAGAUCACAUCAUCACCAAACACCUGUGAAUGCUAUUUGCAUGAUCAUCAUAUCCAAUGGUCUGUACACGAUCAGAUUGCAUUUUUCUGGUUAUAG
This 300-nucleotide ribosomal RNA is filed under the name Triticum aestivum (bread wheat). RNAcentral's name for it is "partial small subunit ribosomal RNA". Lineage: Eukaryota; Viridiplantae; Streptophyta; Magnoliopsida; Poales; Poaceae. The record is from RNAcentral.